UAUAUAUAUAUAUAUAUAUAUCAACAGUUCAACAACCAGCGGCAGCGCCGGCAGGUCAAGCGAAAACGACGAAUAUUUAAUACAAAAAACGACCAAUUCAAACCAGACCAAGAACAUGGCCAUUUCAAACUGAUUCCCACUGAACCCAUAUAAAUUUCAAAAUCCUAACCCAAGAGACUCAGGAUUUUGAAAUAGCCAUUUACCAAGAAGAAAAUGGCCUCCUCUGUCAGAAGGCAAUUGCAAUUGCAGGGUAGUCCAAGGCCUGCACCGCUUAUGUAAGCAUGAACUCAUCAAAGAUCAAGAAACAACUGCUUCCCAAUCGUCAGAAAAGCAAUCCUGUUGUCAUUUAUCUGAAACCACCUGAUACCAUUCACGUUGCACCUGAGGAGUUCAUGGGCCUCGUUCAGUCUAAAGCCAGUAUUCCACUCGUACUUUCUUCAGAUAACAAAAGAUUUUAUAAUUGGAGGGAAUACCCAAUCAGUAAAUGA
RNAcentral lists this unclassified non-coding RNA (488 nucleotides) under Hevea brasiliensis (rubber tree). Lineage: Eukaryota; Viridiplantae; Streptophyta; Magnoliopsida; Malpighiales; Euphorbiaceae. The record is from RNAcentral.